GCAGUAGGAUAGGCGAAGCGUGCGAUUGGAUUGCACGUCUAAGCAGUAAGGCUGAGUAUUAGGCAAAUCCGGUACUCAUUAAGGCUGAGCUGUGAUGGGGAGAAGACAUUGUGUCUUCGAGUCGUUGAUUUCACACUGCCGAGAAAAGCCUCUAGAUAGAAAAUAGGUGCCCGUACCGCAAACCGACACAGGUAGUCAAGAUGAGAAUUCUAAGGUGAGCGAGCGAACUCUCGUUAAGGAACUCGGCAAAAUGACCCCGUAACUUCGGGAGAAGGGGUGCUCUUUAGGGUUAACGCCCAGAAGAGCCGCAGUGAAUAGGCCCAAGCGACUGUUUAUCAAAAACACAGGUCUCUGCUAAACCGUAAGGUGAUGUAUAGGGGCUGACGCCUGCCCGGUGCUGGAAGGUUAAGAGGAGUGGUUAGCUUCUGCGAAGCUACGAAUCGAAGCCCCAGUAAACGGCGGCCGUAACUAUAACGGUCCUAAGGUAGCGAAAUUCCUUGUCGGGUAAGUUCCGACCCGCACGAAAGGCGUAACGAUUUGGGCACUGUCUCAACGAGAGACUCGGUGAAAUCAUAGUACCUGUGAAGAUGCAGGUUACCCGCGACAGGACGGAAAGACCCCGUGGAGCUUUACUGUAGCCUGAUAUUGAAAUUCGGCACAGCUUGUACAGGAUAGGUAGGAGCCUUUGAAACGUGAGCGCUAGCUUACGUGGAGGCGCUGGUGGGAUACUACCCUA
This 736-nucleotide ribosomal RNA is filed under the name Staphylococcus aureus. RNAcentral's name for it is "partial 23S ribosomal RNA". It matches the Rfam family "Bacterial large subunit ribosomal RNA", at positions 1474 to 2207 of the family's 2925-position model. Lineage: Bacteria; Bacillati; Bacillota; Bacilli; Caryophanales; Staphylococcaceae. The record is from RNAcentral.